Long non-coding RNA from Cervus elaphus (red deer), 331 nucleotides. RefSeq lists it as uncharacterized. The record is from RefSeq and is a predicted model, not a curated record. Lineage: Eukaryota; Metazoa; Chordata; Mammalia; Artiodactyla; Cervidae. The transcript has 3 exons.
CGGGAGGGCACCUAGCUUGGGGCCUGAGCCUGGGAUUUCACCGCAGUUGGGGGACUGGUCUGGAGCCUGACUUAUCUGAUACCCUCUCCAGAAGAAGCCAACAAUGGUUUUUGAGUCAGGAGGUGACACAUGCGGUGUUGGAUGAGUCAGACCACUGGGAGCCGGGUCCCUGAAGCUGGGAACACAGGGCUGUCAUUCCAGAUCUGCCCUGAAGGCUGAUGUCUGGCUGCUCGGUUGGAUCAGCCAAUGGGAGGCAGCUGCAGGAGGUGGACAGGAGGGAAUAGAGUGGCCAGGCAUGCACUCUCCCCACAGGGCAACUGUGGUCACUGUC